RNAcentral lists this ribosomal RNA (387 nucleotides) under Triticum aestivum (bread wheat). RNAcentral describes it as "partial small subunit ribosomal RNA". The record is from RNAcentral. Lineage: Eukaryota; Viridiplantae; Streptophyta; Magnoliopsida; Poales; Poaceae.
CCAAAGAAUCAAGGUGGCCUAGGUUUCCGUGAUAUGAGGUUGUUUAACCAAGCUCUAUUAGCUCGUCAAGCUUGGCGAUUACUUGAUAGACCUGAGAGCCUAUGUGCGAGGCUACUUAAGGCGAGAUAUUACAGACAUGGCAAUCUAAUUGACACUGUUUUCACAGGCAACACGUCCCCUGUUUGGAGAGGUAUCGAGCAUGGACUAGAGCUGCUAAAGAAAGGCAUGAUAUGGAGAAUUGGCAAUGGCCAAAAAUCAGAGUUUGGAGGGAUCCCUGGAUACCGCGUGGGGGCUCCUGCAAAGUACUGGGAGAGCGUGGAACAUGUAGGUACAACCGGGUGGCUGAUUUCAUACUACCGGACGGAUCGUGGAAUGAAGAACGGCUGA